UUGGAGGGCAAGUCUGGUGCCAGCAGCCGCGGUAAUUCCAGCUCCAAUAGCGUAUAUUAAAGUUGUUGCAGUUAAAAAGCUCGUAGUUGAAUUUCGGAAUCUGUCCGUCGGUCGGGCUUCACUGUCCGUACUGGUGUGAUGGGUUUCUACCUUCUGAAUAACCGGCAUGUCAUUAAUUUGGUGCGCCGGGGAAGCAGAACUAUUACCUUGAAAAAAUUAGAGUGCUUAAAGCAGGCUAUCGCCUGAAUAGAUUAGCAUGGAAUAAUAAAAUAGGACGGCAUGGUUCUAUUUUGUUGGUUUCUAGGAUCACCGUAAUGAUUAAUAGGGAUAGUUGGGGGCAUUAGUAUUCAAUUGUCAGAGGUGAAAUUCUUGGAUUUAUUGAAGACUAACUUCUGCGAAAGCACUUGCCAAGGAUGUUUUCAUUAAUCAAGAACGAAAGUUAGGGGAUCGAAGACGAUCAGAUACCGUCGUAGUCUUAACCAUAAACUAUGCCGACUAGGGAUCGGACGAUGUUAAUUUUUUAAUGACUCGUUCGGCGCCUUACGGGAAAC
Molecule: ribosomal RNA, 551 nt
Filed under: uncultured Acaulospora
Lineage: Eukaryota; Fungi; Glomeromycota; Glomeromycetes; Diversisporales; Acaulosporaceae
Description: SSU rRNA
Rfam family: Eukaryotic small subunit ribosomal RNA
Source: RNAcentral